Molecule: long non-coding RNA, 497 nt
Organism: Spodoptera frugiperda (fall armyworm)
Lineage: Eukaryota; Metazoa; Arthropoda; Insecta; Lepidoptera; Noctuidae
Exons: 2
Source: RefSeq, a predicted model, not a curated record
AUAACCUAGGUGUCUUCAAGGCCCGAGUGAUUUAGGUUGCUUAUGGACAGACGUGCUCCAUCGUAGGCCGCAUCAUCACUUACCAUCAGGCGAGAUAGCGGCCAAACGUCGGCCCAUUUAACAUAAAAAAAAAACUUGACCAUGUGAUGAUUCUAUAGCAGAUGUGGGCACUAUGUUUGAAACAACCGUUAUUUUAUAUUCUUCACAAAUUGAUUUUAUUGUCCCUUUAGUUUUGACGCCGUAUUGUCGUUACAUUGUUCCUACAUAUAUAUACAAUAGGUAAAUGAUCAAAUAAUGUAUCAGAGAUAUUGUAAAAAACAUUUUUUGAAAAGAGUAACGAUGGAGUUUCUUGCUCGUUCUUCUCCAUUCGAAGCAACACUUUGGAACGAGCGCCUAGCUUCACUGACAGACAGACUGACGGACAAUUCAAUUUGACGUUUCAAAAGUGCCUAAUUUAGGAUUAAUUGAAAUAAAUGCUUUGACUUUGACUUUGAAAA